Molecule: long non-coding RNA, 5278 nt
Filed under: Homo sapiens (human)
Lineage: Eukaryota; Metazoa; Chordata; Mammalia; Primates; Hominidae
Description: HSALNT0299080
Source: RNAcentral
GUUUCCUUUAUAAAUUACUCAGUCUCUGGUAUUCCUUUAUAGCAGUGUGAAAAUGGACUAAUAUACUUGCCCUUCAUCCCAACGAUGGAUUUAAGACUAGAGACAUUUCAAAUAGUAGGUUUUUUGCCAAAUGCCUUUCGCUGUAGAAAUUCUAUACAUGGCCUUUGUCUGUUACACUGGAAGUCCUGCCACUUCUUAGAUGGUGGAGAUUAAAACAGCGAUUUCUUGUGGUGGUGGCGGGGCUGGGGUUGGGAACAUUGAGGAUAAGGUGGGAGCUGCCCAUCUCAGACACUACUGAGAUAGUGGGAUGGGCCACAUAAAUGUCUAUGGAAGAGAUGCCUUUGCCAUACAAUUCCUUCAACAAAUACUCAUUGAUCACACACCAUAUCUGGGGGUGUAGCUGAGAACAAAACAAAGCUCCUGUUUUGAGGAGCUUUAGGCUGUAGAGAAAACAGAAAAUAAACAAGCAAGCAAAUGGAUGUUUUUAAGUGGCAAAAGUGCUAUAAAGGAAACAAGUAGUGGGAUGAGAUGAGGGGAGGAGAACUUCAGGUAAGGUGGCAUCAGAGCAGGAAGCUGAACUGAGGGUGAGUGAGCUGAGCUCAACAGAAAGGACUGUUGGACUGAGCCAGCCACAUGGAGAUCUGGAGAAGGGAAGAGGGCACUACCAUUUUGUUUUUGUUUUUUAUUGGAUUUAAGACGUCACUAUUGUACCUCUAAAAGAAAAAAAAAAACUGUAAUUAUAAUUGUAAAUUACAAAAUUGAUUGUAAAACACAUUUUGAUAACAAUGAAUUAAAAUAUGUUAAAUUACAUGCCUUAGCAUCAAUAUAUUAGUUCAAAAGCCCAGAAGUGUUAAACAAGCUUAGUGCUUAUCUAAGCAACUGAAAAGAAUCUGAUAUGUUUAUAGUUGGUGAAUGACAGAGAAAAAGAUAUGAGGUUUCAGGGGGGCAAAAGGAUAAAUCUUGAGGUCUUAGUUUAAUUAAAAACGGGUGAUGAUACCAUUUACUGAGAUAGGAGAGAUUUCAGGUUGCCAAGAUGUCAAUUUCAGACAUAUUUUAUAUAUGUUAAGUGACAAUUAAGAGAAGGAGGGUUAAAAGGAGACUUAAGAUUCAGUGAAAACUCAAGGUUUAUGAAGACUUUUGCUCCAUAUCCAUCAGGAAACCAGAAAUCCCUGAAAUUAAUAGCUGAAUAAAUAGAAUAAGGUCAACAUUAUUUUUAACACAUAUUUUUAUGUCAUAUGCAUACUAUGUCACCAUAAUCAGUAAACUGUUAAAGUGCCAGAAAAUGCUUCUACAUCAUUUUCAUUCUGACAGGAAGUAGAUAGAAAUGGCAUGUAUCUACGAAGCCAAGUUCUUUCAAAAUUUACAGCUUAAUUUCUCCAAUUGUUUAGAGUGAUAAAUUUUUCACUGAGGCCAUUGACCAGCACAAUAAUUGUGUCUACACAGCAUGUUUAUAUCAAAUACCAUUGCAUCUGUUAUGUCCUGUUCAUGCUGUGACCUUCCCAGAAGGCAGUUAGGGAUUGAAACUAGUACGCACAAUAGUGUAGAUCAGAAAACUGAUGUCAGGCUCUAGUGACAUGUGUAGGUACUGGCAGAACUGGAAUUAGAACCAGAUUUCUACAGUUGCACCCCUGGUUCUUUGCUCCAAAUGCUAAAGCCCUUGGUUAUUUGAUUUUCCUGUUGUCUUUAUCCUAUCCCCAGGCUCUAUUUGGGUUUCUGUAGUGAAAUUAAGGAUAACCUCAUCUGCAUGCUGUACUUUCUUAAAUAGAUUUUUCUAAUCUCCCAUACUCCCACAACCAUAAAUGACAAAAUACAAGCAUGCUUAGGAUCAUUGUGCCCCACAAUAAAAAAAGCUGUUGCUAUGUUUUGGAAACAGAUCAAUCUUGGUAUUUAAGUGUUGUUUGAACAAAGAUUAACUGAGCCUGUUCUCCUCCCCCAGGUACUCAGACCCAGAACAUACUGUUUUCACUCCAAGAGUCUGAAUGUCUCUUUUCUGAGAAAGAUGAAGAAAAAGUACUUUUUUCAUGAAUUUAAUACUCAUUAAAGUCAAUAGUCGGAAAGCCUGGCUAAUUAGCAGACUUCUUCAGAGGACUUUAAAUAAUAUAGUUACUGUAUUUUUAUUAUAUUGAAAUCUCCAAAUAUAUAAAGUUAGAAUCUUCAAGGUGGGAGGAAGAGGAGAAAUUGGAUUUCUCUAAGCUCCCUAGUGAUUCUGAUGAUGACUCAUUUGGGGAAGUGCAGCAUUGAAUGGCCCUUCUAAAAUGAGGACAGCUAUUUUUUGGACUAAGCACCCCUCCCGACUCUCCCCAUUCCUCAUCCUCUCAGAGACUUCUCUCUCUCAGAUUGCCCCAUCUGUCUCAUGUAUUAUAAUCACUUCCCCUCUACUGGUUUCUUCUCAUACGUUUAACUUGUUCAAGUGCCUUCCAUCUUUAAAAACAGUCAAGGCACAGCCCUUGAUUUAACCAUAGGAAGCCCGCUCCCCACCACCCUGCCAUCAGCUCUCUUCUUCCUGUGUAGUGAGCACUGCUUCUUUGAGCUUCUGAAAGCUGUAGUCACUGCCUCUUGCUGGUAACUGAAAGCACAUUUCUAAGUUCGCAUAUUCCCUGACUUCUUGACAGCACUCAUGACUCGCCAUCUCCUUUUCUGGAACACUGUUUGCUUGGCUUUCACAAUAUCAUGCUUUUCUAGUUCUUUUUCCUGUUUUGGACACUGCUUUACAGAGAAUUAACAUUCCUCUUUUUCCCGCUGACCCUGAAUCAAGAAAGAAUCAUGUUUCUUUCUUUAUUUUUUAUAUCUUAACUUUUGAGGGGUAGAUUUUCAAGCAUACAUAAAAGUGAAGAGAACAGGAUAAUGAACUAGGUGUACACAUGACUGCAUCUUAUCAGUGCAAUACACACUCAUAUUACUUUUUCUAUACUUCAUCCAUUUUCUCCCUGCUCCCUGACUUGGAUCAAAUCCCAGACAUUACAUUAUUUAACCUGCAAAUAUUUCAUCAUAUAUAUGUGGGAAUAUAUAGAUCUCUAUCACUAUAUAUAGUGAGAAUUUCUUUCAAAGAAAAGAUAAUCACAAUAUUAUAAUCUCAUCAAAUGUAGUUGUUAUAAUUCCUUAAUGUCAGUCUAAUAACAAUCCUGUUUUCACAAUUUCUUCUCUUGUAGAUUUUUAAAAAUUAAUUUUGUUGAAUUGAAAUCUAAAUAAGAUACAGAGAUAAAGAUUCAUUGACAUGUCCCUUAAGUAUUUUAGUUUAUAGGCUGUCCUACUAUAUUCCCUGCCUCUUCUUGCAUUUUAUCUUGAUUCAGUUGAAAACUCUGGGUCAUUUGUCUUAUAAAGUUCAUGGGGUCUGCAAUUUGGUGAAGGUGUCCUUUUGGCAUUAUUUAACAUGCGUCUCUGUUCCUUGUAUUUUCUAGAAAUUAUUGGUUAUAUCUAGAGGUUUGAUCAGAUUUAGGUGAAAUUAUAAAAAGAUUCCGUCAUAGGUGAUUUUGUGAAGUUCCAUCAGAAGGUACCCAUCUGGUUUUCUCUCCUUUUGUGAUGCUAGCAGCCACUGAAUAUGGUAAUCUACUCCAAUCAUUAACUAAAUUUCUUUUCUGGAAUUAUUCCAAAAGAGAAACUUUUUUCAUCAUGCAUUUGGUUGUCCUGAGGUAUGAUUGUAUAGGAAAAACAGGAUAACCUACUGAUACUUUCUGUUUAAACUAGUAUUCAAAAUAAUAAAAGUAGUCCCCUAGUAUUAUCUAAAGAUUUCAAAAGACUUUUAAAAAAAUUAUUGAUGAUUUUAUGAGCUCAGGGAUUAAACAUAGUCAAUCUGUUUCAAUCCCUUGCAGUUAUUCCAAUUAAUAAUCAAAUUUUCCUGCCUUUGGCUUGCGGCAGCGUAUUCAUGUUGAAUUCUGGGUCACUUUGACAUGACUCCAGUUGUCUUUGAUGGUAUCCUUUUUGUGACAAAAUGUCCCAGGAUUAUAAUUUCCUGUCCCAUACUGGGAAACAGCCAGUUCUCCAAAGAGCUCUGGAACCAUUCAGUGAGAAAUGUAUUUAGAUGCAACAUUCUGGGUGCUAAGCAUGCCCAUUAACCUGAUCAAUCUCACGUCUUUCCUUUCUUUCAGCAUUGCCAGAAAACUCAUUUCUCAGUGACACCAUUGUAAUUACUCAUUUGAUUAUCCCGCAAUACACAUAUAAGAGUCUCAGGAAAACAGUACCAUCAGCAUUAUAUGGUAAUAUCUACAAGCACUUUAAUAUUUUCUUAUUGGGGGUACACUUUUUUCCAUAGAGAAUAUUUUACUAGGUAAGAACAAUAAUAUUGAUAUGUUUUAAUUUUUCUUGAAGUGGUUCUUCUGUAUGAGGUUAUAUCACCAAGUAGAUAUACAGUUAUAAUGUUUGAUUAUUACACAUUGCUUUUCUUAAAAUUUAAUUUUGUUUUAAAGCUAUUAAAAUCAGGUUUCUUAAAGAAAGAUCCUCAUUCUAUCUGGAUCAAAAUCACUUUCAGAGCUAAUUAAAAAUGUGGUGUCCUGGACUCACGAAGCCAGAAUUGCUGAGGAGAUAGCCCGAGAAUCUGAAUUUUUAGCAGACAUUUUUUUAGGUACCUUACCCGCAGGAUCAUUUCUGUGAAUAUCCAUGAGGUGAAAAAGUCUGGGAAACACUGUCCUAGGGUGUGGGGAAGAGCGAGAAAAAGAUUUCCGCUCUGGAAGGUAAACAAAUACUCUCUGGAGAGAGAAGAGGAAUGUCCCUAGCAGAUGUCUCCAGAGAAGACAAGACUUUAAAUUCCGCCAGGGAAAUAUACAAUGUCUAACUUCUAAGGCACAUUUGCCAUUCAAUCAUGCUUUAACCCACGUUGCCAGAAAUUUUUGCUCACUAGGUUUUGACUGUACAGGAAUGUGAAAAUAUUCAUGAAGAGUUGUUUUCCAAUGCUAAAGAAUUGAUGUGUUUUAACAGUUGAAUUAAUUGUAUUGAUUAUGAUCACACCUACUUUUUAUAUAUCUUCAUUUCUAACGUUUCUGUACAAUCCUGCCUUUCCACCUGAUAUAGUUAGGCCUUGUGUCAUCAACCAAAUCUCAUCUUGAAUUGUAAUCGCCAUAAUCCCCACGUAUUUAGGGAGAGACCUGGAGGGAGGUGUUUGGAUCAUGGGGGCGGUUUCCCGCAUGCUGUUCUCAUGACCAUGAGAGUAAGUUCUCAAGAGAUCUGAUGGUUUUAUAAGCGUCUGUCAUUUCCACUGCUUGCACUUCUGUGUCCUGCCACCUUGUGAAGAAGGACGUGGUUGCUUCCCCUUCCACCAUGAUUGUGUUUCCUGAGGCCUCCCCAG